Molecule: ribosomal RNA, 440 nt
Filed under: uncultured bacterium
Lineage: Bacteria
Description: partial 16S ribosomal RNA
Rfam family: Bacterial small subunit ribosomal RNA
Source: RNAcentral
CCUACGGGAGGCAGCAGUGGGGGAUAUUGCACAAUGGGGGGAACCCUGAUGCAGCGACGCCGCGUGGGUGAAGAAGCGCCUCGGCGCGUAAAGCCCUGUCAGCAGGGAAGAAAAUGACGGUACCUGAAGAAGAAGCCCCGGCCAACUACGUGCCAGCAGCCGCGGUAAUACGCAGGGGGCAAGCGUUAUCCGGAUUUACUGGGUGUAAAGGGGGCGCAGACGGGGAUGCAAGCCAGGAGUGAAAGCCCGGGGCCCAACCCCGGGACUGCUCUUGGAACUGCGUGGCUGGAGUGCAGGAGGGGCAGGCGGAAUGCCUGGUGUAGCGGUGAAAUGCGUAGAUAUCAGGUGGAACACCGGUGGCGAAGGCGGCCUGCUGGACUGCAACUGACGUUGAGGCCCGAAAGCGUGGGGAGCGAACAGGAUUAGAUACCCGAGUAGUC